CAAUAAUGCUCGCCGUUAACUAGUACUCUAUCUGAUUAGCAUCACCGUAUUAUUUUCUUACGGUUUCAUCUUCUGGUGCUAGAGCUGGUGGUUGAAUUCACGGCUAAGCCUUGUCGAUACCCAUGAAGGGGACUUUGUGUUCAUCGGGAUUGACGUUGAUGAAUUGGACCUUGUGGCUCUGCAUUUUCACUCGUGAAGAAAGGGAAGGUAGCUGGGGUCAAGAAGAAUGAACUUGAGAGCAAGAUUGAGAGACACAGGAUAUGAUCACCAUUCCUCUUAACAACCAAUGCCAUGUCCAUGGCGAAGCCUUGCUGGAGUGUGUAUUUCAGUAGUGAGUGAAGAAUUAAAUAAGGCCUCGAAAGCAAUUUGCUGAGGCAAAAACAAGGAUCCUUUUUUAAUUAUUAUUAUAUUGCUCUGCAUUGCUUUCCCAGGUU
This is a long non-coding RNA of Populus trichocarpa (black cottonwood), 434 nucleotides long. RefSeq lists it as uncharacterized. The transcript is spliced from 2 exons. The record is from RefSeq and is a predicted model, not a curated record. Lineage: Eukaryota; Viridiplantae; Streptophyta; Magnoliopsida; Malpighiales; Salicaceae.